Molecule: long non-coding RNA, 229 nt
Filed under: Elaeis guineensis (African oil palm)
Lineage: Eukaryota; Viridiplantae; Streptophyta; Magnoliopsida; Arecales; Arecaceae
Description: long non-coding RNA (EGUI_LNC074430)
Source: RNAcentral
GUAAUAAAAAUAAAUAAUAAAAAUUUAAAGAGUAUAAAAUAAAUUGGUACUAAGAUCUACUAACUAGAUCUUAGUAUCUACUUUCAAAAAAAUAAAAGAUAAAAAUUUAAAAUGCAAGAAAAUAAAUUUUUUAUAUAUUAAAAUUGAUAUUCAAUUAUAAAAAAAUUUAAAAAGAAUAAUAAAAUAAAAUAAAACUAUAAAAAAGAUUUAAAGUUGAUCAGUACAGCCU